AUAAUACUCCAUAGAUUAGAGACACUGGAAUGUUCUUUAGUCGAAAGUUCUGGCGCCUAGGAUGGAUCUGCGGUCGAUUAGGUUGUUGUUGGGGUAACGGCCCAACAAGCCUGUAAUCGAUACGGGUUUGUGGGAGCAAGAGCCCGGAGAUGGAAUCUGAGACACGAUUCCAGGCCCUACGGGGCGCAGCAGGCGCGAAAACUUACCAAUGCAGGAAACUGUGAUAAGGGAACUCCGAGUGCCCGUAUACGCGGGCUGUCCAGGUGUUUAAAAAUCAUCUGAAGAAAGGGCCGGGCAAGACCGGUGCCAGCCGCCGCGGUAAUACCGGCGGCUCGAGUGGUGGCCACUAUUAUUGGGCUUAAAGCGUCCGUAGCUGGACCGAUAAGUCUCUUGGGAAAUCCGCCGGCUCAACCGGCGGGCGUCUAAGGGAUACUGUUAGUCUAGGGACCGGGAGAGGUGAGAGGUACUCCGGGGGUAGGAGUGAAAUCCUGUAAUCCCCGGGGGACCACCGAUGGCGAAGGCAUCUCACCAGAACGGCUCCGACAGUGAGGGACGAAAGCUGGGGGAGCGAACCGGAUUAGAUACCCGGGUAGUCCCAGCCGUAAACUAUGCGCGUUAGGUGU
RNAcentral lists this ribosomal RNA (623 nucleotides) under uncultured archaeon. RNAcentral describes it as "bacterial SSU rRNA". It matches the Rfam family "Archaeal small subunit ribosomal RNA", at positions 146 to 774 of the family's 1478-position model. The record is from RNAcentral.